This 856-nucleotide unclassified non-coding RNA is filed under the name Hevea brasiliensis (rubber tree). Lineage: Eukaryota; Viridiplantae; Streptophyta; Magnoliopsida; Malpighiales; Euphorbiaceae. The record is from RNAcentral.
AAAGAUCUCCAUAAUUUCUUGCUUUAAUAGCUCGGCAGGCGGCAGCCACUUAACUCUCACAUAUUCCUCUUUAAAAAGUCGUUCCUCUCGUCUUCCUCCUCUAAUAUUUUCCAAUGGAGAAUUUUGCAUCAUUUUUUCCGCUUUCAUCUUCAGCAGCAGCAGAAACAACCAUGUCAUUGAACGUGGGUAGUUCUCAAGGUUUUACAGACUACUUUCAAGUUAACAAGGAAAAUGGGUUCUUGGGCUUGAUCCAGGAGAUGGAAGAUCAUCAUCAUCCUGUGAUGGGUGGUUUCAAUGGUAACAAUAGCAACAAUUAUAUCAACUUGUCUUCUCAGAAUAAAAGCUUUGGUGGGUCUGAAAAUGAAGAGAAAUUAUUGGGGAAGAAGAAGGGAUCGGAGAAGAAAAUAAGAAAGCCUAGAUAUGCCUUUCAAACAAGGAGCAGAGUUGAUAUUCUUGAUGAUGGGUACAGAUGGAGAAAGUAUGGCCAGAAGGCUGUCAAGAACAAUAAGUUUCCAAGAAGCUAUUACCGGUGUACUCAUCAAGGGUGCAAUGUCAAAAAGCAAGUUCAAAGAUUGACAAGAGAUGAAGGAAUUGUUGUCACAACCUAUGAAGGAAUGCAUUCUCAUCCAAUUGAAAAAUCUACUGAUAACUUUGAGCACAUCUUGAGCCAAAUGCAAAUCUAUGCACUUCCUUUUAAUUAGUCCCUUAAUCUCCAAUACAAGAAUUAACAUUUAAUAUUAAUUUCUUGUACAUUAAUAAAUUAUGUAAUGCUUUUUUUGUAUAAUCCUUAGUCCGGGGAUUAGCCGAUUUGAUUAGUGUGUAACUCUAAGAGAUUAAUGACUCAAAAUCCUUUUUG